UGGGGAAUAUUGGACAAUGGGCGAAAGCCUGAUCCAGCAAUGCCGCGUGAGUGAUGAAGGCCCUAGGGUUGUAAAGCUCUUUUACCCGGGAUGAUAAUGACAGUACCGGGAGAAUAAGCUCCGGCUAACUCCGUG
RNAcentral lists this ribosomal RNA (135 nucleotides) under uncultured bacterium. Its description in RNAcentral is "partial 16S ribosomal RNA". It matches the Rfam family "Bacterial small subunit ribosomal RNA", at positions 355 to 507 of the family's 1533-position model. The record is from RNAcentral.